GACGAACGCUGGCGGCGUGCUUAACACAUGCAAGUCGAACGGAAAGACCCUGCUUUUGUGGGGUGCUCGAGUGGCGAACGGGUGAGUAACACGUGAGUAACCUGCCCUUGACUUUGGGAUAACUUCAGGAAACUGGGGCUAAUACCGGAUAGGAGCUCCUGCUGCAUGGUGGGGGUUGGAAAGUUUCGGCGGUUGGGGAUGGACUCGCGGCUUAUCGGCUUGUUGGUGGGGUAGUGGCUUACCAAGGCUUUGACGGGUAGCCGGCCUGAGAGGGUGACCGGCCACAUUGGGACUGAGAUACGGCCCAGACUCCUACGGGAGGCAGCAGUGGGGAAUAUUGCACAAUGGGCGGAAGCCUGAUGCAGCAACGCCGCGUGCGGGAUGACGGCCUUCGGGUUGUAAACCGCUUUCGCCUGUGACGAAGCGUGAGUGACGGUAAUGGGUAAAGAAGCACCGGCUAACUACGU
This 467-nucleotide ribosomal RNA is filed under the name uncultured bacterium. RNAcentral describes it as "partial 16S ribosomal RNA". It matches the Rfam family "Bacterial small subunit ribosomal RNA", at positions 28 to 506 of the family's 1533-position model. The record is from RNAcentral.